CUGCAGAUGGUGCUGAAGAGCCAGGAGGCCUAGCACCUGCAGCAGCAGGGGCACCAGCUGCUGUCCCAGUGUGGCAGCAUGCUGAGUCCCGGCAGCAGUUGGCCAUGGAGAAGGAGGCCCUGUGUAGGCUCGUUCUUCUGCACAGGCACCUGGUCAUGCAGCUGCAAGACACAGAACAGGAAAAAAUGGUGGCCCUGGACAGGAUCCCAGGAGAUGCAGGUGAUGGAGCUGCUGAGGCGGGCCCUGGAUGGGGUUCCCCGGCUGCCUCUGACUUCGCACUUUCCAUGCUGCCCACAGGAGGACCUGGAAGCCUCCAGGCUGCAGGAGGAGCAAGCGGCCCCGCUGAGAGUCCUGGCCCUGGCUGGGGCAGGGGACAUGGAGGAAAGGCCUGUGGAGGCUCCGGGGUCCAACACCACCAUCCCCGAAGACUCAGGCAGCUCGGAGGCCUUGGAACACCAGGCUCCGCUGCCCAGACGCCUGAGGCAGCAGAAGGGGCAAUGCCAGCGCCUGGCCCAUCUGGCGGCCCUGACCCAGGACACACCUGGGCACGGGGCUCCCACCCCCAGGAGUACGCACGGGAGAGCUGCAGCAGGUGGCGCUGCUGCAGGAGGACGAUGGCAGGUCCUGUCAGGGCCAGUGGGUGGCCGCCGCACAGACCCGUGGUGCUCCAGAGGGGAGCUCUGCUCACCUUGAGGAGCCCCCAGGAGAAGAGCCCCGGCCGGGGUCCUUCCCACAACCCCAGCUGCCUGAGAGUGAGAACCCCAUCAGGGCCCAGGCUUGGGUCUUCAUCCCUUGGUGCCCUGCGUGCGGUUUUGCUACCUUGCUGAGGAAAAGGACACCGCGCAGCUCAGUUUGAUUCCAAGCCUUUCUCCAGCAAAGCCUGGAGAAGCGGGGCCAGGGCUCUGCCCCCACUGUUCCCCAUUCAGUCCCUGCCUCCCUGUCCCUCCUCUCCUCCCACCUCCCUGUUACCCCUAUAGGAGCAAGAAACGCCACAAAUUUCCUUUUCAUUGAAAAUGUUUUAACUGCUGGGCUGGGAAUUCAGCUCAGUGGUUCUGCUGCCUGCCUCCCCAGCUUGGGGACUGAGUUCGAUCUCCUGCACUGUACAGAUAUUCCACAGCAUAAACA
RNAcentral lists this long non-coding RNA (1125 nucleotides) under Fukomys damarensis (Damara mole-rat). RNAcentral's name for it is "lncRNA (ENSFDAG00000028986.1)". The record is from RNAcentral. Lineage: Eukaryota; Metazoa; Chordata; Mammalia; Rodentia; Bathyergidae.